Long non-coding RNA from Ictalurus punctatus (channel catfish), 795 nucleotides. The record is from Ensembl. Lineage: Eukaryota; Metazoa; Chordata; Actinopteri; Siluriformes; Ictaluridae.
AUUUACAGCUCAUUGCUUCUGCACUUUUGUGUGAACCCUAGCGAUGUCCAAGAAAGCAAUGUCCAGUGCCGUCCAAACCCUUUAUCCAGAAGUCCAUCUCUACCACUGCUCCUCUGCGAUGUGUCACAUUACCCAACAGGCAACACCUCUGUUCAGCUCCACUUCAGGUUCUGUGAGGGGGGUUUGUUAAUGCAGAGUGCUGCUUAAUGCAUCUUUGUCAGGACCUCCUGGAGGGGAUCUGCGGGGGGUAAAUCCAGGCCUCCAUACCCCAGGGGGCCAGUGGAGGACUGGAAACCACCAUGAGCUAUGAGCCGAUCUUCUUGUGGCUUUGACCGUCCCUAUCUUCAGUCCCAAGGAAAAAAAUUCUCAGGAUGAUGGUUAAUGGAGCACAUUUUGUCUUGGUGUUAAAGGAAUACUCCAGCGGUUUUCAACCAAAUCCUAAUCUACUGCAUCUGUAGCCUUUGAAUGAUGCCACAAGGAAUAGUUUCUACAGGGGCAGUUGCUGAAUUGUUGAAUAAAUAUUAAAAAACUAUUAUUAUAUAGCCUAAAUAAAUUCAAGAAACAUGUUGGAUUCCAACAAUAAAGGUUUUAAGAUGAAAAAGAUAGACAAGUCUUUCCACAGAUAUUCUUACAGAUUUCUUUCCCACUUUCCAAUACAAUAAAAAGACAUUUCAGUUCCUUAGGGUUUUUUCCCCCAAAGGUUUUAUUUAUGUUGGUCAUGUUGGAUCCAUAUCAUCAUCAAUGAAUUCUCAAUACAGAAGCCGUUGAUUAAUAUUCAACAGACGUUGAUUAAUA